Molecule: ribosomal RNA, 213 nt
Filed under: uncultured bacterium
Lineage: Bacteria
Description: partial 16S ribosomal RNA
Rfam family: Bacterial small subunit ribosomal RNA
Source: RNAcentral
UAACCUGCCUUGGAGUGGGGAAUAACACAGUGAAAAUUGUGCUGAUACCGCAUAAUGCAUUUGGAUCGCAUGGUUCUGAAUGCCAAAGAUUUAUCGCUCUGAGAUGGACUCGCGUCUGAUUAGCUAGUUGGCGGGGCAACGGCCCACCAAGGCGACGAUCAGUAGCCGGACUGAGAGGUUGGCCGGCCACAUUGGGACUGAGACACGGCCCAG